RNAcentral lists this ribosomal RNA (440 nucleotides) under uncultured bacterium. RNAcentral's name for it is "partial 16S ribosomal RNA". It matches the Rfam family "Bacterial small subunit ribosomal RNA", at positions 338 to 795 of the family's 1533-position model. The record is from RNAcentral.
CCUACGGGAGGCAGCAGUAGGGAAUAUUGCUCAAUGGGGGAAACCCUGAAGCAGCAACGCCGCGUGGAGGAUGAAGGUUUUCGGAUUGUAAACUCCUUUUGUUAGAGAAGAUAAUGACGGUAUCUAACGAAUAAGCACCGGCUAACUACGUUCCAGCAGCCGCGGUAAUACGGCGGGUGCAAGCGUUACUCGGAAUCACUGGGCGUAAAGAGAGCGUAGGCGGGAUAGCAAGUCAGAUGUGAAAUCCUAUGGCUUAACCAUAGAACUGCAUUGGGAACUGUUAUUCUAGAGUAUGGGGGAGGUAGGUGGAAUUCGUGGUGUAGGGGUAAAAUCCGUAGAGAUCAAGAGGAAUACUCAUUGCGAAGGCGACCUACUAGAACAUAACUGACGCUGAGGCGCGAAGGCGUGGGGAGCGAACAGGAUUAGAUACCCGGGUAGUC